GAUGAAGAACGCAGCGAAAUGCGAUAAGUAAUGUGAAUUGCAGAAUUCAGUGAAUCAUCGAAUCUUUGAACGCACCUUGCGCCCCUUGGUAUUCCGAGGGGCAUGCCUGUUCGAGCGUCAUUUCAACCCUCAAGCACAGCUUGGUCUUGGGCUUCGCCGCUAACCCGGCGGGUCUUAAAAUCAGUGGCGGUGCCGUCGGGCCCUGAGCGCAGUAAUCUCUCUCGCUAUAGGGUCCCGGCGGAUGCUGGCCAGUAACCCCCAAUUUUCUAUGGUUGACCUCGGAUCAGGUAGGGAUACCCGCUGAACUUAAGCAUAUCAAUAAGCGGAGGA
RNAcentral lists this unclassified non-coding RNA (330 nucleotides) under soil metagenome. RNAcentral's name for it is "partial contains 5.8S ribosomal RNA, internal transcribed spacer 2, and large subunit ribosomal RNA". The stretch from base 1 to 120 matches the Rfam family "5.8S ribosomal RNA", at positions 35 to 154 of the family's 154-position model. The record is from RNAcentral.